This 4340-nucleotide long non-coding RNA is filed under the name Salmo salar (Atlantic salmon). RNAcentral's name for it is "lncRNA (ENSSSAG00000082276.1)". The record is from RNAcentral. Lineage: Eukaryota; Metazoa; Chordata; Actinopteri; Salmoniformes; Salmonidae.
UUAAGGUUAGAAUUUGUGUUAGGGCUAGAUUAACGUUAAGGGUUAGGGUUAGGAGCUAGGGUUAGUUUUAGGGUGGUUAGGAGCUAGGGUUAGGGUUAAGGUUAGCUUUUUGGGUUAGUGUAAGGGUAAGAAUAUGAGUUAAGGUUAGGGGUUAGGCAAAAUAGGAUUUUGAAUGGGACUGAAUUGUGUGUCCCCACAAGGUUAGCUGUACAAGACUGUGUGUGUGUGUGUUGUGUGUGUUUUGUUUUAAUUAAGUCUACUGUACCUGUCUGAUGGUUGACUCCACAGGCCCUGAUAGGAAGACAAAUGCGUAGAAGAAUUCCAGACUAAGGGACUCCUCUUUUGGUCUCUGGACUCUUCUCCUUUGUUGAGUUGAUUUAAUUUCAACUCAAUAACAUAAGUUUUGAUUCAGUCCACUUUGUUCUGUUUUAGACGGUCCUCCAGAUUAGAAAGCUACAUUAAUUUUCCCUCUUUGUCGUCCUCCCCUCUUGGUAUGGAUUGUUCUUAGGAUAGAAUUACAGUUUCUUGCGCUCUCUCUUUGUUUCCUCUGUUCCUUUCUCUCUGUCCACUGUAGAAUUCUUGUCAACUUUUAGAUAAACUCUGUCCUCCCGUAAAUCUUUAACUCAGUUGAUACAUUUAAUAAAUCUAUCUAUCCCUACAUCUAGAGUUUGUUUAUCCUUUCUCCCUCUUUUCAAUUCACAAUAGUUCUCUCUCUUUCUCUCUCCCUCGCUCUCUCUACUUCUCAAUAACUUCCAGAUGUGACUGUGUUGUUGGCCGCUCUCUUUUCUCUCUUGCUCUCUCCUCUCCUCAGUAUUUUUGCCGUCGCUCCUCCAGCGCCCCUUCUUCCUCCACACCUCCAUCCCCUUACUCACCACAUCUCUCUCCCUCCUCCCUUUCACACUCUCUACCUCUCUCCUUCUCUCUCUCUAAACAAACAUUAUUCUCUGUCAGAUUAUCCUAUUCAGCAGAGCAGAGCAGAGAGACAUUAAGGCAUUUAUUUGACAGAGUUGCAGAUUUGUUUCUCUUCUAUUUCCUCUGAUUCUGUUGUACGCACCCCCCUCCCCCAACCCACACACAUACUUACUCCCCUUCCUGAAAUAAUAGUUGACGAAGGUUGAGGUGGUGUAGUGGCCAGGAUAACAUUUUCUAUUUACCAAGGAUCAAUCUUACUAAAAGCGGUUGUUGUGGCUUUAAGUUUAAUUUGUGAUCACAUCACAUCAGAGGGGUUCUAUGACUGAGUUGUUUGCCUGAACAACUGUUUUUGAUCUCUGCUGUUUUCUCUGCUAGACGUUUGCAACAGAUGCAACUUCAGAAAAAACAGACCAGUAGAAUAGAAGACCUGUGCGUCAUCACAACACCGCUCUUUACUGCAGGUCACAUUGAACUGUGCUCUGAUCAUAAAGAUGGGGAAAGGGCACAACCUAGUGGCCAUAAUCAGCAACACGUAUGUUUUUUUUAUUUAACCAGGCAAGUCAAUUAAGAACAAAUUCUUAUUUACAAUCACAGCCUACACCGGCCAAACUCGGACAAUGCUGGGCCAAUUGUGCACCACCCUAUGGGACUCCCAAUCAUAGCCGGUUGUGAUACAGCCUGGAUUCAAAUCAGGGUGUUUGUAGUGACGCCUCUAGCACUGAGAUGCAGUGCCUUAGACCGCUGCGCCACUCGGGAACCCCAUAUCAAAUCAAGUAAACAAAGCCUUUUCUAUGGGACAAAUCCCAACUUCCACUGAAGUUGAAUAUUCACUUAGUCAUGAUGUCAAUGGGAGACUAAGUGACUAUUUGUCUCAGUGGAAGUUCAGAUUUGCACCUAUGAAUUGAUUGCUAUUGAUUUAAGCAGUUCCAUAAAUAAAGUGCAUUUGAAGACCGCAAAUUGUUAAGCAAAAAGUAUUAAUAUUCUGCCACGUUCAACAACUUCAUUCUAGAACAUGCACUCUGCACAUCUAAAACUUUAUUUAACAAAAAAACAUUAAGACAAAACAGCAUACAAAAUACCAAGGGUAAAACUUAUGACCAUGCACACAACCACUCCUAUCUUCCCUGAGUUAUGUUGACAGAGCACACAAUCACAGAUACAUACAAUGUCAAAGGCCUUUUCAGUAGUACAAAAAUAUUUUUAACUUUUACAUUAUCACCUAGAAAAUCUUUUUAUGGAAAACUCUUCUAUUUUUAAACUGCAGUGGUUAGACAGAAUGCCGCUCCUCCAUUCUUCUUACCUCUCACUCUAAUUUUCUUUCUUUCCAUUCCCUUCUCCCCUCUCCAUUUCUUUUUCACUUUCCCCCUCUCUUUUUUCCCCUCCUGUCUUUUCUCAGUUCGAUUUUGAAAGUGAAGGAAGAGCCAUCCUCUCUUGCCCCUCCUCCACUCCCUCAUCAAUGUACAGCAGAGGCUCCUUCUCCUCCCAUUUCUCUGCCUCCUUGCUCCCAGCCACUCCUACUCCCCCAUCAGGCCCACCCCUCUCUCCCUCAGUCUCGUUGGCUAUGAAUGUGCUCAGCACCACAUCCGUUCCAGCCCCCUCUCUCUUGUUGUCCUCUGGGCUCCCUCCCUCCUCCCCACCCUCAUCCUCCUCCCCAUCCCCACGCCCUAGCUUCACUGGCCCUGCCCAGGCGUCUUCCUCCGCCCCUUUCUUCCGCUUGGAACUCUUCCCGUUCCGGAAGCUGGACACAAAGUACUCGGUGUGGCUCUGCCUCUUUCGUCUGAUGACCAGACAAACACAGUAGAACCCGCCCGCGAAUAUAACCACGAUCAGGAGAGCAACGAUGAUGACCCAUAACAAGCUGGGCUGACCUGUCUUCACCCUGACCCCAGCCACCGUAGAGUCUGGAUCUGUGGAGGUGUGGGUGGUAGCGGGGGUCGUGGCAUGGCCGGGAGGGGGAUUGACCAAUGGGGAGGUGGGUGCAGUGAAUUCAACCCUUUCCUCCACCGACGACAUCUGGUCGACCCACAGGUUCUCCAGAUCCACCCCUGACACAUUCUCUCCUCCUCUCCUCACUCUCCUUCCCCUCUCUCUCUGGACUGACAAACGCACCCACAGGAAGACAGUGAGACCGAGGAAGACCGAAGCAGUCAAUCCCAGAGCCCACAGAACAAUGAAACAGACCAGUCUAGAAGAGCCAGGAAGCAACGACAGGGACCUUUCAUCUGCCUCUCCGCACUCAGGACGAUCAUGCACAGUGUUUUCAGUUGUGUUGUUCAGCCUGUUGUCAUAACCUGAGAUUGUGUGGUUGUGUCUGAAUGAAUGAGUUUUCUCCUUCAAAAGUACUGUUGUGUUACGAUUAUUAGAGGUUGUGGUAUUACUGUGUGAAAGUGUGUUUGUGUCGUUGUCUGUGUCAUUAUCUGUAAACGUGUUUGCAUUGAUAUAUGGAGUUGUCCUAUUGUCAGCAUGGGGGAUUGAAAUGGUGGCGUGGUCCUGGUUGUCCAUAGACUGGCUUGUGUCGUCAGGUUGUGUUUUGUAGCCGGUAGCCCAGUAAGUCACAGUCAUGUGCUCAUACAAACCAGGACGUGUGACUGUGUACGUAGGUGAAACCGUUGUUGUUGUUGUUGUGACGCUGUUGGCCUUACUUUGUUUACCUCUGUUCAAACCUGUCACUCUACUAGUUGGGGUGAUUGUGAAGAAGUCUCUCUGUGUUGUGUAGUAAUCUCCUGAUGCAAUCUCUAGUCCUUGUGUAGCAGGGUGCUGGUCUGCUGCUUGUGACCUGUCUAAGUGUGGCUUCGCUAGCCUGGAGUCAUUAAUGGUGUCAGCAGCCCAUGUCUCUAUGGAAUUUGGUGUGCUCAGUUCUCUGGCUGUUUCAGUGGUGCUGCUGUCAUGAUACUCAGUCCCUUCCUCCCCGGGGAGAGAGGUGGUGCUGGGGUGGUCAGUUGUGGGUGAGGCUGUGUGUCUGCUGAAGGGAAGAGUCUCAUGGUGAUUGUGGCUCUCUGUUUCCCUCCUCAAGUCUCCUGCAGUUAUGUGCCUGUUGCUCUUCUGUACAGCUGUGGUGGCGUAAGUGGCAGUUCCUGUUCUGAGAAUGCCUCUUCCUUGAGUCGUUCUGCCUGAGUUGUUGACAGCUGCUAAGCUAGCGCUUUUCUUCACUUGUGUGUUGAACAUGCCACUAGUCCUACCAGGGUGGUUUUCAGUUGUGGAGAGUGGAAUUAUCAGGGGGUCUGAUGUUGUAGUGCUGAUACUAAGGUCUAGAGCUGUUGUUGUUGUUUCUGUGGCGCUUGGUGAAGCCGCAGUGGUAGAAUGGAAGACAAGAGUGGCGAGGAGGUGAGGAAGGCACAUGGCGAGGGAAAUCAGAGUCAAUCUCAUCAUGUCUGUGUGUGAGAAAGAGAGGGGCAGAGAAAGAUAGGAAUAGUGGGAUAGAGAGAAGA